RNAcentral lists this ribosomal RNA (600 nucleotides) under Triticum aestivum (bread wheat). RNAcentral's name for it is "partial small subunit ribosomal RNA". The record is from RNAcentral. Lineage: Eukaryota; Viridiplantae; Streptophyta; Magnoliopsida; Poales; Poaceae.
AUGUCCAGUCGUCCAGUGCUUCCUGCAAGAGCUUCAGUGCUGGUGGCGGAGAUGUGGCAUCCGCAAACCCUGGGUGCGCGACUCAUGCCGUCGUCUCGCACACAUCCGCCGAGUCCAGCCGCCGCAGUGCCGCGUCGGAUUCCUGCACGGCAUUCAGUUCUGGGGGCGUGUACCUGCCGUCGGCGCGAGACUGCGACAAUACGCCGACCAAGAGGUCCUCGUGCGCCAGAUGAGAGAUCUGUAGUAGUUGAUCGUGUGCCGCCGCUUGAAGCUGCAAUUAGAGGAUUCGCUGAUAGGGGGACUGAGGUGGUCGUCAACCCGGUGCUUGGCACCAUUUUUGAUUCGCUGGCAGAGGCGUACGAAUUCUACAAUCUCUAUUCCUGGGUUGACAAAUACAAGCUUCACAACAACACUUUCCUCAUACAAAUUUUCGAGGUUCGUCACAAGUGGGCGAAGCCUUAUUUUAGUGGCAAGUUAUGUGCGAAGCAAACCAGUACGCAAAGAAGCGAGAGUGCAAACCAUUUGUUGAAAGGCUACAUCCCGCCUGCAUGCCCCAUGAACCUUUUUGUGAAGCAAUAUAGCAAAUUGCAGUUCGACUGA